UUGCUUCCUAUUAGCAUGAACAAUUUUAAAUGUACUGUAAAAAUAGUAAUUAUGAAAGUUUUGAGGAGGUUGGAUUAGGGAUUGUGCAAUUUGGUGAAUGGGAGGGAUUAUUGGGAAAAUUCUUGAGAAUGAAGACUUCUUUAACAGGCUCUCUUUCUCUUCUGUAGUAAAAUAAUUACACUUAUAGAUAUGCCUAGAUCAUAAGUCAUGACAUUUCAGAAAAAGUAUGAAAAAAGUUUUAGCUUGUGGAUAAUUCCCAUCCUGCUUAUCAACCCCGAUCAGUUUCAGAAUCUCUCCAAUCUCCCACAGAUACAUACAGAACCUAUACCCUAGAGGGAGAUUCUACUCUCAGUGGAACCUAGUACACAAGAUCCAGGUUCUUAGACCAGGAGCAAGAGACACACAUUCAUGACCUAAGAAAGGAAAGAACUGGUUGCCAGGUGCAGGGGAUGGUGCUUCUCAUAAAAGACAAUUCUCCUACAAUUUCACCCACCAUUUACUCUGAAAGAAAUACCCAAUUUGGCUAGAGAGGUGGUUUUUAAAGAUAACUAGGAAGAUGCAUGGGAAAGUACAUCGUCAGCUAAUUAGCUACUGGAUUCUGUAACUGUGAUAGUGCCCAGUUGACACAGAAUGACUUUGGAUGAUGUGUGACUGGGGGUUCUCAUCACCCAAGAUUGUAAGACUAUGGAGUUUAUAGAUACUAAAUCAGGCAAAAGCUGGAACUAUGAAGAAAAACCAUCCCAGACAAUCCUUCGGAAUAAGGAUAAAUUAUCUACUAAAGGGAAAAAAGUACAUUCUUGUAAAACUAUUAAAAGGAAAAAAAAAUCUUUGAUGAAAAGUGAAAAAAGGCUGGUAUCUGUACCUAAAAUUCCAGUUACUCAACUGCUCUCUCUUAUUCCUGGACAAAAAGUGGCUGAGAGUGCUCCAGCUAAGCCUCAUAUUGAAGUAUGGAUUCUUCCCCUCAGAAAGGACCCUCAAGAAUUGACAAGAAUCAAAUCAAGGGAAACUCAAGGAAGUGAAGAUGACCAAACAGAAAUUAUCAGUUGGCAUGCAGAGGAUGAUGCUGAAAAGAAAAUUUCUUUGCCUGACCUGUUUCCAAGCCAAGUUAAUCUAAUUAAUGAGGAAAUAGUUGGUGAGUCUCAAGGCCAAAGAAAGGCAGAUUUGGAAAGGCAAGAUAUUCAGCAUGGUACAAUUACCAAAACAAUGGGUGAGUUUGAAGGCCAAAGCCUUUUGCCAGAGUGGAAAGAUCAAGAUAGUCAACCUAGUACAACUAGUACCAAGAAAAUGGGUGAGUUUGAAGGCCAAAGUCUUUUGCCAGAGUGGAAAGAUCAAGAUAGUCAACCUAGCACAACUAGUACCAAGAAAAUGGGUGAGUUUGAAGGCCAAAGCCUUUUGCCAGAGUGGAAAGAUCAAGAUAGUCAACCUAGCACAAGUAGUACUGAUAAAAAAGAACAAGAAGAACCUUCAGGAAUUUCAGAUGUGAUUCCCUCAAUUACAAGUCUAAUUAAACAAUUAGACUUAGACAGAGUAGUUGAGAUAAGCAUAGCUGAUUUAUUAAAGGACACAAAAGAAGUCAGUUUUACUCCAGCACGGGCAGAUGUUUCAACAAAAACUGUGCCUUUCUCAAAGCUUUUUCAACAAAAUAAAAUAUCUGGUUUACUAAAGGACAAAAAAGACGGUGCAAAAUUAACACAGAUGGAUGUGUCCCAAGAGCCUUUUCCACCAAGAAAGAAAUUUGAUACACUGAAAGACGGAAGGGAAUAUACAAGCAGAGCAAAAAAGAGCCCUUCAUUUCCAUUUCAUAAGAAAGCUACAGAGCAAGUUUUUCCAAAGGAAAAAAAACAAGCUUCCUCUUUGAAGUGCUUCAUUAUAAAGCAGCAAGUGAAAACACCUCAGCUGGACAGAAAGAACUGCCUCAGGGACAGGCAUUUUCCUCCAUUAAUUCUUGACAGAAAAGGGAAGUGAAUUACCAUCCAAAUUACAGUCAGCCAGAGAUAUUUUACUCCCGUGAACAAUUCCUUCAGUAGAAAAAAGGAGAUAUAUUCAGAUUAUGUCAUAACAAGAAGGAAGAACCACAAUGAACCCAAGAUUUCUUGGUGGAGAUCCUGGAAGAAUGUUGGUUCCACCAAAAGAAAUGUAGACUUCAGAAAAAGAAUCAACCAACCAAUCAAUGAGUGUUUUAUUUAUUACACACCGACUAUGUGCUAAGCAUUAAUGAUACCAUUAUACUAGUGAGACAGUCUUUGCCCUCAGGAAACAUAUUCUAUUAUGGGGAAACAGUAAUUAUAAAUGAGCUUUCCAGCGGUUUUACCUGCAUUGUAGCAGGGUCAUGCAUAAAUGCUUCCUAUUUCUGAAAUCAUCUGAAAGUAUUUAGUAAGAGUCAGCACAUGAAGACUAAGACUAUGAAGUGAGGAGAGGGGAAAAAAAGUUGGUUAGUCGAGGCAACCCUCAGCACCACAAAAGGUCUAGAUUAAUCUGACCCUUAUUAAAAGGAAAAUUUAGAUUAUCAGUGAUGGUAAUUUAGAAAGAUAACUUUUAUCCAGAGCUCUUUAUCAAGAACAUUCUUUAACUAAACAUUCACAAAGCAUCUUCUAAAUAAAUGCAAGUGGCUUCUAGGCAGUCUUCAAGGAUAAGCUAUCAAUUGAUAUUAGGCCCCUCAAGUUCAUCAUAGCACUAAGAAAAGCAGCAAAUAACUACAAAAAUUAGAUAAUUAUAUAAUAUGAUAAGAUUUACCAAUAACAGUGGCCAGGACAUGAGAGGUGGUAGAUUGCUGGGGAUCUACAGGAAUUCUGCUUGAUCUUGUAUUGAUCAAAGAACCUUUAAAGGAGUCACUGCCAGUUCUGUGUAUUAGAUGGCUUCUUGUUAGUAGAUAUGUGAUUAUUUACAAGGCCUAAUUAGUCAAAUAUCUGACAGAAACAUUUGAAUUUAGUAGUUUCCAAAGAAAGGAUUUACAUUUGAGAAUGUAAAUUCUCUUAAGAGGGCUUUGCAAAAUCUCAAGAAACAAUGCCUGAUUUGUCCACUGAGCAAUAACAUACAUUUAAAUAUUGGUAAAUAAAGAUGCUAGAAUUUGAAUUUUCAAAAAAUCAUAGCUACCUACCUCUUGCUUUAU
Sarcophilus harrisii (Tasmanian devil) is the source of this 3109-nucleotide RNA transcript. RefSeq lists it as uncharacterized. The record is from RefSeq and is a predicted model, not a curated record. NCBI's taxonomy places the organism in Eukaryota, Metazoa, Chordata, Mammalia, Dasyuromorphia, Dasyuridae. The transcript is spliced from 16 exons.